AACUGCUUAUCACUCAUGCCCAAGACCGAUUCUUUAGCUAUUGACAUAAUUUAGAAUAAUUGCCAACUAUCGAGUACAGGGACUAAAGCCACAUAACAAUCAAUAGAUGCUCUGCAACAAGCUGGGAGAUGGGCAUCCAUGAGUCACUCACUAAGCCCUCCACCUGUUCUGCUGUCUCCUGCAAUGUUCAAUUGUCUUCCUCAUCACCUCUUUGAAAGUAUCAUUACGAAGGGCUAUCCCAUUGCAAUGUCAGUGAACAUUUUCGCGACCUCCUCUGCACUCCCCGGCAUGUUAUCUACUAUGCCUGCAGACAUAACUGUACAUCCUUUCCGGUGUCUAUAAGGCUACAUACGAUGAAAACUCGG
This 365-nucleotide long non-coding RNA is filed under the name Amborella trichopoda. Its description in RNAcentral is "long non-coding RNA (ATRI_LNC002842)". Lineage: Eukaryota; Viridiplantae; Streptophyta; Magnoliopsida; Amborellales; Amborellaceae. The record is from RNAcentral.